GAGAAGCCAUUGAUGACCACCAUUUUUCUUUCUCUUUUCCAAUCCAUCAUGAAUAGAGGUUUUUUUUUUCUUUCCUGACCAUGAGCGGACUUCACACACAUUUAAACACAGCAAACAUGGAGUAGACGACUCCAUUUUUCUUUUCUUUUCUUUUUCUCUGUGACUGCAUACACUAACAGAGAGGUCGACAGAGAAAUCACGAGGGAGAAGGAACUAAGGGAGUUGAGAAAGAUCUGAUCGGUCCUAAUUCACUGAUUCGACUGACCCAGCUUCGGAACCCCCUAAAUCAUUCUUUCUUCUUGAUUUAUGGGGGAAUUCAUCCAGGAAAUAUCGAGGUUCACCGAAAAAACCUCUCCCGUCGUUGUCUCAUUACUGUUUUUGGUGAAAUACGCCAGAAAAAUGACGCCACCAAAUCCCUUCUUCCCAAACUUGACUCGAAGUUGGUUUAAUUGAGUUAGUCCAUUUGAAUCUACGUCUCGUCGUUUCUAUUUGCUUGGUAUUAUCUGUGGUUUCCUGGGUUUUGGAUUGAAAUUCAGGGGACUUUUGUAUCGGAGCCGGGAGUUCAUCGUUGUCGAGGUCUCUAUUCG
RNAcentral lists this long non-coding RNA (587 nucleotides) under Capsicum annuum. RNAcentral's name for it is "long non-coding RNA (CANN_LNC014915)". Lineage: Eukaryota; Viridiplantae; Streptophyta; Magnoliopsida; Solanales; Solanaceae. The record is from RNAcentral.